Ailuropoda melanoleuca (giant panda) is the source of this 1448-nucleotide RNA transcript. It is a transcript of the gene named UDP-glucuronosyltransferase 2B31, with no coding region annotated. Lineage: Eukaryota; Metazoa; Chordata; Mammalia; Carnivora; Ursidae. The transcript has 6 exons. The record is from RefSeq and is a predicted model, not a curated record.
UUGAAAAGAAGCACUGCAUUCCACCAGGAUGUCUAUGAAAUGGAUUUCAGUUCUGCUGCUGCUACAGCUGAGCUGUUACUUCAGCUCUGGGGGUGGUGGAAAGGUGCUGGUGUGGCCCACAGAAUACAGCCACUGGAUCAAUAUAAAGACAAUCCUGGAUGAACUUGUCCAAAGAGGUCACGAAGUGACGGUUCUGACAUCGUCAGCUUCCAUUCUUGUUGAUCCGAGCAAAUCAUCUGCUAUUAAAUAUGAGGUUUAUCCUGCACAUUUACUUGGAAAUGAUUUGGAGGAUCUUUUCGGAAAACUGCUCGACACAUGGAUAUAUGACUUGCCAAGAGAUACAUUUUGGGCAUAUUUUUCAAAAAUGCAAGAAAUAUUCUGGGAAUAUUCUGACUGUAUUCAAAAGUUCUGUANGAUGUGGGAAUUUUCUGACUGUAUUCAAAAGCUCUGUAAAGAUGUAGUUUUGAACAGGAAACUCAUGACAAAACUACAAGAAUCAAGGUUUGAUGUCGUUCUUGCAGAUGCUAUUGGACCCUGUGGUGAGCUGCUGGCAGAGCUACUUAAAAUACCUUUAGUGUACAGUCUCCGCUUCUCUCCUGGCUAUGCAUUUGAAAAGUAUAGUGGAGGGCUUCCAUUCCCUCCGUCCUACGUGCCUGUUAUUUUGUCAGAAUUAAGUGAUCAAAUGACAUUCAUGCAGAGAGUAAAAAAUAUGAUAUAUGUGCUUUAUUUUGACUUUUGGUUCCAAACAUUUAAUGAGAAGAGUUGGGAUCGGUUUUACAGNCUGGGAUCAGUUUUACAGCGAAGUACUAGGAAGACCCACUACAUUCUCUAAGUUAAUGGGGAAGGCCCAAAUAUGGCUCAUUCGAACCUACUGGGAUUUUGAAUUUCCUCACCCACUCCUACCCAAUUUUGAAUUUGUUGGAGGACUCCACUGCAAACCUGCCAAACCCCUGCCUAAGGAAAUGGAAGAGUUUGUCCAGAGCUCUGGAGAAAACGGUAUUGUGGUGUUUACUCUAGGGUCGAUGAUCCAUACCAUGCCAGAGGAAAGAGCCAAUACGAUUGCAUCAGCCCUUGCCCAGAUUCCACAAAAGGUUCUAUGGAGAUUUGAUGGCAAGAAACCAGACACCUUAGGGUCAAAUACUCGGCUGUAUAAGUGGAUCCCCCAGAAUGACCUUCUUGGUCAUCCAAAAACCAAAGCCUUCGUAACUCAUGGUGGAACCAAUGGCAUCUAUGAGGCGAUCCACCACGGGAUCCCCAUGGUGGGCAUUCCUUUGUUUGCGGAUCAACCUGAUAACAUUGCUCACAUGAAGGCCAAAGGAGCAGCUGUCAGUGUGGAUUUCCACACGAUGUCUAGUACAGAUUUGCUCAAUGCUGUGAGGAUGGUCAUUAAUGACACUUCACAUCUAGGAGUAGAAUUGCUGGUCAUAUGUUAACUCUGUGAGGAACUG